Ahaetulla prasina is the source of this 1737-nucleotide long non-coding RNA. RefSeq lists it as uncharacterized. NCBI's taxonomy places the organism in Eukaryota, Metazoa, Chordata, Lepidosauria, Squamata, Colubridae. The transcript is spliced from 4 exons. The record is from RefSeq and is a predicted model, not a curated record.
CGGGGGAGAGGCGGAUGCCUGGAAAGAAGACGAUUCGCUCGGGCUCAGAAACGUCGCUUCCUGAAUAAACACAAGUCGGAGCGAUUCUGCUUUGAAGAAGCUUUGGCGGGCGUGAAGCCAGUGCUGGGAAUCAUAAAAUAAAGGAUUGCAAAGGGAUCCUGGAGAUCAUCUAGUCCAAAUCUCAAUCCAGUGCAUAAAUCCAAUACUGCCAUAUGUCUUACAGAAGGCCAUUUGUCCUCUGUGUAAUUGCCUCCAAUGAAAAAGAAUUAUCCCUCCCAAGAAUAUCUGUUCCACGUUGAACUACAAUUAUCAUUAUCAUUUUUCUCCUGAUGCCUAAUAUCUGCAUCCUUGUAAGAUUAGUUUGGCAUGAUUUGAUAAACUCACUGGAGCAUCUAUUCUGGCUAUAUCUGCUUUAAGAGCUCUGCACAUGGCUCACUGCAUUGUACUGCAUAUACCACCUUGCUCUGUUUGUGUCUGGGUGUUUUAUCCUUGCGGUGGACAAGCUUCUGCCUUACUAUAUUCUUGGGUAGUGAAGUGUCUACAUAUUUUAUGUUGGCUGAAGAUCCUCCUGAGCUGUUCUUAUUUAGGUAUUAUUUAGAUGAUCUAUCUAGCCACCCACCACUUAUAAUCAUGUCUAUAACUGGCAUACAUCAAAUAAAAUCUCCCAGAAGCAAUGUUUCAAUAAAAUCUAUGCAAUUUCAACAACAACCCUUCCAACAGAAAGAAAGAAAAGAAACCCAGAAGCUUAACGUAUCAACAGUAUAAGGCUGUUCCACCUCCCAGAAGGCUCAUCUAUUGUCUUGGCCCAAUGCCUGGAAGAAGAGCCAGGUUUUGAAAGAUUUUUAUAUCAUUCUGUUUACAUUUCACAGUUCCUUACAGAGAUAAUUCCACGAUUAUCUCUUCUUGUGCACAAAGUAAUAUUGGGAUAAUGCAUAAUUAUCUAUUUCCAUGAAUUAAAUAGAGAGAGUAAGAGAGAGACACUCUAGACAACAUAGUAUCAAUAGUAGAAACCUUCAAAUUUCUAGGUUCUACCAUAACGCAAGAUCUAAAAUGGACAGCUAACAUCAAAUACGUCAUCAAAAAAGAACAACAAAGAAUGUUCUUUCUGCGCCAACUCAGAAAGCUCAAACUGCCCAAGGAGCUGCUGAUCCAGUUCUACAGAGGAAUUAUUGAGUCUGUCAUCUGCACCUCUAUAACUGUCUGGUUUGGUUCUGCAACCCAGCAAGACAGACACAGACUUCAGAGGAUAAUUAGAACUGCAGAAAAAACAAUUGCUACCAACCUGCCUUCCAUUGAGGACCUGUAUACUGCACGAAUCAAAAAGAGGGCUGUGAAAAUACUUACAGAUACCUCACAUGCUGGACAUAAACUGUUUCAACUCCUACCCUCAAAAUGAUGCUAUAGAGCACUGCACACCAGAACAACUAGAUCCAAGAACAGUUUUUCCCCGACCGCUAUCACUCUGCUAAAUGAAUAAUUCCCUCAACACUGUCAAACUAUUUACUAAAUCUGCACUACUAUUAAUCUUCUCAUCGUUCCCAUCACCCAUCUCCUUCCACUUAUGACUGUAACUUUGUUGCUUGUAUCCUUACAAUUUAUACUGUAAGUGAUCGUUUCCUGAUUGCUUAAUUGUAGCCUAUGAUUAUCAUUAAGUGUUGUAUCAUUAAGUGUUAAAUUUGUAGCCUAUGACUAUCAUUAAGUGUUUUACCUUAGAAUUCUUGAUGAAGGUAUCUUUUC